UGAGGGGGGGGGGCAAAAUGGGGGGCAAAAAAUAAUUGGGGGUAUUUGCCCCCCGUUGCCCCCCCCCCCCUCCCUCCUGGCG
Molecule: non-coding RNA, 82 nt
Organism: Paramuricea clavata
Lineage: Eukaryota; Metazoa; Cnidaria; Anthozoa; Malacalcyonacea; Plexauridae
Source: the annotation of a GenBank genome assembly